UGUCGUAUACGUACCGGGAAAGCAUUC
RNAcentral lists this small RNA (27 nucleotides) under Bombyx mori (domestic silkworm). Its description in RNAcentral is "ovarian small RNA-35741". The record is from RNAcentral. Lineage: Eukaryota; Metazoa; Arthropoda; Insecta; Lepidoptera; Bombycidae.